RNAcentral lists this ribosomal RNA (253 nucleotides) under uncultured bacterium. RNAcentral describes it as "partial 16S ribosomal RNA". It matches the Rfam family "Bacterial small subunit ribosomal RNA", at positions 524 to 776 of the family's 1533-position model. The record is from RNAcentral.
UACGUAGGAGGCAAGCGUUGUCCGGAUUUACUGGGCGUAAAGGGCGUGUAGGCGGUUUGUUAAGUCUGGCGUGAAAGCUCUCGGCUAAACCGGGAGAGGUCGUUGGAUACUGGCAGACUAGAGGACGGUAGAGGCGUGUGGAAUUCCGGGUGUAGUGGUGAAAUGCGUAGAGAUCCGGAGGAACACCAGUGGCGAAGGCGACACGCUGGGCCGUACCUGACGCUAAAGCGCGACAGCAUGGGGAGCAAACGGG